AUUCACUGACGAGUCCCAAAUAGGACGAAAGGCGCGUAGUGGAU
Molecule: non-coding RNA, 44 nt
Organism: Schistosoma mattheei
Lineage: Eukaryota; Metazoa; Platyhelminthes; Trematoda; Strigeidida; Schistosomatidae
Source: Rfam